AGAGUUUGAUCAUGGCUCAGAUUGAACGCUGGCGGCGUGCCUAACACAUGCAAGUCGAACGUGAAAGGGAGCAAUCCUGAGUAAAGUGGCGUACGGGUGAGUAACGCGUAGGUAAUCUACCCCAGAAUCUGGAAUAACCGGUCGAAAGGCUGGCUAAUACUGGAUAGAGCGAUGGAAUCCGUAAUUGGGUUUUUCGGGAA
RNAcentral lists this ribosomal RNA (200 nucleotides) under uncultured bacterium. RNAcentral's name for it is "partial 16S ribosomal RNA". It matches the Rfam family "Bacterial small subunit ribosomal RNA", at positions 8 to 226 of the family's 1533-position model. The record is from RNAcentral.